CUACGUAGGAACCAAGCGUUGUCCGGAAUUACUGGGUGUAAAGGGUGCGCAGGCGGAUUUGUGCGUCAAGGGUUAAAUACCUCGGCUCAACCGAGGAAAUGCCUUUGAUACGGCAAGUCUUGAGUACGAGAGAGGAUGGUAGAAUUCCUGGUGUAGCGGUGAAAUGCGUAGAUAUCAGGAGGAAUACCCGUGGCGAAGGCGGCCAUCUGGCUCGUUACUGACGCUCAGGCACGAAAGCGUGGGGAGCAAACAGGAUUAGAUACCCCGGUAGUCC
RNAcentral lists this ribosomal RNA (274 nucleotides) under uncultured bacterium. Its description in RNAcentral is "partial 16S ribosomal RNA". It matches the Rfam family "Bacterial small subunit ribosomal RNA", at positions 523 to 796 of the family's 1533-position model. The record is from RNAcentral.